ACCGAUAUGCACCUUUUGAUGGAGAAUUCAUCACCUUUAGCUGCCUCCUUAUCUCUUGCCCCCUUUUCUCUUGACUCCUUUUCUCUUGCCUCAUUUUCUCUUGCUAGCUGUUUAGCUUCAUUUUCUGCUUGCUUUGUCCUCAUUUCAAUUCAAGGAAUCUCUCCAUCAUGGCUUCAAUUUUUACACUCUUUCUAGGCCUUUGUCCUUCCUUUUCUAGUUUCUUU
RNAcentral lists this long non-coding RNA (224 nucleotides) under Setaria italica (foxtail millet). RNAcentral's name for it is "long non-coding RNA (SITA_LNC000368)". The record is from RNAcentral. Lineage: Eukaryota; Viridiplantae; Streptophyta; Magnoliopsida; Poales; Poaceae.